This 999-nucleotide long non-coding RNA is filed under the name Gallus gallus (chicken). Lineage: Eukaryota; Metazoa; Chordata; Aves; Galliformes; Phasianidae. The record is from RNAcentral.
GCCCCCAAAAAUCCCUUCAAGGUUAUCCCCAAACCCUGCUGCCCUUUGGAAUCAGUUCCUGAAAACCCAUUUGGCGUCAUCUCCAAAUGUCUUUGGGGUCAGCCCCGAAACCCCAAACCACAUGCGCUGCCCCACACUCCAACCCUUUUUAUUCACUCAGCAAGGAUGGGGAGCUAUGGGUGACAGCUCCAGUGGGGGUUCCCAAAUCCCCCCGACCCCAAAAGGAGGGGGCCUGUGGGGUCAGAGCACCUCGUCGCGCCGUGCUGCCAGCAGUGCUGCCUGCUGAGCCUGCCAGUGCCGGCGCCGCUUCGUCCGCGGCCGCAUGAACUCCACCACGUCCAUGGGGACCCGCACCGUAUCCAUCCCAUUCACCGUCACGUCGCACCAAUACUCGCCCCAGCGGGUGAUGGGUUCAUCCGGCAGCUUCAGCGCAUGGGGUGGCACCGACACCCGCAGGUUCUUGAGGAAGUGCCGCGCCACGAUGGCGGUGCUCAGCUCCCAGUUCACAUUGUUCUUCAUGCCCACCUCCAGGCGGCAGCUUCGCAGGAACUGCAGGGUCCUCUCUCCGCUCUGCGUUUGGAUCGCCUCCAUCUGCCCUUCCUGGCUUUGCUUCUCCUCUUCGAACAGCCGGCGGUUCUCAGGUGAUGCAUACACAGCCAAGCCCUGCGGCAGCAGCCGGUUGCGCCCCACAGACUUCUUCACAGAAACGAUGUCCCCACGGCUCCCCAGACCCUCCACCGCCUGCGUCAGGAUCAGCUCCAGCUCCCCGCGCGGCAGAUGUUUGCCGUCCUCCACCAGUCGGUACACGCGGUACCGCCGGUGCCGGGCGCGGGGGGGCCGCCCCUCUUUGCUGAGCGGCACCUUCCACCACCGUUCCACCACCACCGUGUCCCGCGCAUGGCUCAGGCUCAAGGCCCGCCCCGCCGCCCCGAGCAGCAGCUCGCAGCCCCGCGCCCACAGCGGGCCCAACAUGGCGGCGCCCAGCCCGAGGACCCCCGC